CUCCAAUGCUUUUGAGCAUGCUCAGAUGCACAGGAAAGGAGGCCUUGUUAAAUGAGAGACCAGACGUUGCUGCCUCACUACGAAAGGCACCGCCUCUAAAAACCCGGAAGUUUUAUCUCUUCCUGAGCAGAAGGGACUGUACUCGUGUGAUUUUAUGUCUGUUGGUGGGGGAGUGGGCGGAGCACGCACGCAGGGUGAUAGAGAAGAACUCGGGCAGAGCGACCCCUUUUCUUUUUCCCCCCAUCCAACAUGGCGGUCGUCGUGGACCGGGUUGGCUGCGAUCACUAUUGCCGUGGCUGCUUGCUCAAGGCUCCAUGUUGUAGCAAGUUUUAUAUAUGCCGUCUCUGUCAUGAUAAUAACGAAGAUCACCAGAUGGAUCGUUUUAAAGUACAAGAAGUGCAGUGUGCAAAAUGUGGAAAAGUUCAGAAGGCUCAGAAGAGUUGUGAGAAUUGCAACAGUGUGUUUGGAGAAUAUUACUGCAGUAUAUGUCACCUUUUUGACAAAGACAAGAAGCAAUACCAUUGUGAUAAGUGUGGGAUUUGUAGGAUUGGUCCGAAAGAAGAAUUCUUCCAUUGUUCUAAAUGCAACUUGUGUCUGGCUCUGACACUCCAAGGGAAUCAUAAGUGCAUUGAAAAUGUUUCAAGACAAGAUUGUCCCAUAUGUUUGGAGGACAUUCAUACUUCACGUGUUGGAGCUCACGUCCUGCCCUGUGGGCACCUUCUUCAUCGAACUUGUUAUGAAGACCUUCUAAAAGAAGGCUAUAGAUGUCCUUUGUGUAUGCAUUCAGCGUUGGAUAUGUCCAGGUACUGGCAACAACUAGAUGAUGAAGUGGCUCAAACUCCAAUGCCCACGGAAUAUCGGAACAUGACAGUAGAGAUUCUUUGCAACGACUGCACUUCUAGAUCUACAGUACAAUUCCAUAUUCUGGGCAUGAAGUGCAAAGACUGUGGCUCGUAUAACACGACCCAGGAUGGCGGCUGCCGGGUGUCUCGGAACAGCAGUGACUGAGAUCAUCCAUGUAAGACCACAUCGCUUGAUACUGCGAGUUGCCGACCUUUCAUAUAGAAGGACACUUUGUGAUCCUGGCUCCUCAUCUUCACUACUUCUGGAGUUUUGAGUUAUAUAUAAUGUACAGAUACUUAACACACUUUCAGAUGUGACAAUUGAAUUUUAGUUGCAAGUGUUAACAUAUUAGGUAUUCACACAUCUGUCAAUUUUAUUGAUCCUGCAAAACCCCAGUAGUUCAUAAUGGGACUUUCUCAGGUGGUUUAGAAUCAGGUUCUGUAUUAAAUUGUAUUCAGGUAUUUACGUUUAAAUGUCUUUUUUAAAAUAUAAAAGUUCCCUAAAACAUUGACUGUACUGUGCAUUUUUUAAACUACUUGAAUGAGUAAGAUUGAAUUCAAAGCAGCUAUGAGAUAGUCCUGAACAAAAUGUCUUCUGCUUUUGAGGCUUUUGAGGCUUAAUAGAAGAUGGUACUGAAACCUAACUGGAUUCUGUUCCUCCAAAGCUUGAAAUUCUUGGGAGCCAGGAGAUAUGGUAUAGUAGAGCUAAUCUAUGUAAAAUACUGCCUGCAGGUGCAUAAAUACAUUUUCUAGAACAUUUCGUUUGCUGCUGUGGAGUGUUCUGUAUAUUGCCUGUAAAGUAAGAUCUUUAAUAAAAAUAAAUCAGUUUUGACUUCA
Molecule: RNA transcript, 1679 nt
Organism: Hemicordylus capensis (graceful crag lizard)
Lineage: Eukaryota; Metazoa; Chordata; Lepidosauria; Squamata; Cordylidae
Gene: RCHY1
Gene name: ring finger and CHY zinc finger domain containing 1
Exons: 11
Source: RefSeq, a predicted model, not a curated record